UACGGAGGGUGCAAGCGUUAUCCGGAUUCACUGGGUUUAAAGGGUGCGUAGGUGGGUUGGUAAGUCAGUGGUGAAAUCAUCCGUGCUUAACAUGGAAACUGCCAUUGAUACUACUGAUCUUGAAUUUUCAGGAGGUAAGCGGAAUAUGUCAUGUAGCGGUGAAAUGCUUAGAUAUGACAUAGAACACCAAUUGCGAAGGCAGCUUACUACAGGAAUAUUGACACUGAUGCACGAAAGCGUGGGGAUCAAACAGG
RNAcentral lists this ribosomal RNA (254 nucleotides) under uncultured bacterium. Its description in RNAcentral is "partial 16S ribosomal RNA". It matches the Rfam family "Bacterial small subunit ribosomal RNA", at positions 524 to 776 of the family's 1533-position model. The record is from RNAcentral.